Molecule: long non-coding RNA, 510 nt
Filed under: Ananas comosus (pineapple)
Lineage: Eukaryota; Viridiplantae; Streptophyta; Magnoliopsida; Poales; Bromeliaceae
Description: long non-coding RNA (ACOM_LNC024987)
Source: RNAcentral
CCAUGCCCGACGAGCAGGUGCUCGAGCGCUCCGCGCUCUUCCAGCGCGCCGCCGCCGGCAUGCUCAAGGGCUCGUGGAUCGUCGGGGGCCCCAGCUACCCGCUCAUGGAUUGGGUGCUCGUGCCCUACACCCACCAGAACCUCACCUGGACGCAGCACGCCUUCAACGAGAAGGUCGGGGAGGUGCGCCGCGUCGCCACCGACGCCUUCGCCAGGCUCAAGGGCCGCUGGAGCUGCCUGCAGAAGCGCACCGAGGUCAAGCUGCAGGACCUGCCCGUCGUCCUCGGCGCCUGCUGCGUGCUGCACAACGUCUGCGAGAUCCGCCGCGAGCAGUUCGACCCCGACCUCCGCUACGACCUCGUCGACGACGAGGUCGUGCCCGACAACACCAUCCGCUCCCCCGCCGCCAAGCAGGCCAGGGACAACAUUGCGCACAACCUGCUGCACCACGGCCUCGCCGGCACCGCAUUCUUUUGAUCACCUCUCUCUCCCUCUCUCUCUCCCUCCCUCC